AUACGGAGGGUGCAAGCGUUACUCGGAAUCACUGGGCGUAAAGCGCGCGCAGGCGGCUUGAUAAGUUGGAUGUGAAAGCCUACGGCUCAACCGUAGAACUGCAUCCAAAACUGUCAAGCUAGAGUCUGGGAGGGGAAGAUGGAAUUAGUUGUGUAGGGGUAAAAUCCGUAGAGAUAACUAGGAACACCAAAAGCGAAGGCGAUCUUCUGGAACAGUACUGACGCUGAGGCGCGAAAGCGUGGGGAGCAAACAGGAUUAGAAACCCCGGUAGUCC
Molecule: ribosomal RNA, 274 nt
Filed under: uncultured bacterium
Lineage: Bacteria
Description: partial 16S ribosomal RNA
Rfam family: Bacterial small subunit ribosomal RNA
Source: RNAcentral